Molecule: ribosomal RNA, 499 nt
Filed under: uncultured bacterium
Lineage: Bacteria
Description: bacterial SSU rRNA
Rfam family: Bacterial small subunit ribosomal RNA
Source: RNAcentral
AUGAACGCUAGCUACAGGCUUAACACAUGCAAGUCGAGGGGCAGCAUGGAGGUAGCUUGCUACCUUGAUGGCGACCGGCGCACGGGUGAGUAACGCGUAUCCAACCUGGCCCUUAGUAGGGGAUAGCCCGGCGAAAGUCGGAUUAAUACCCUAUGUUAUCCGAAGCUGACAUCAGACUUGGAUCAAAGAUUAAUCGCUAAGGGAUGGGGAUGCGUCUGAUUAGCUUGAUGGCGGGGUAACGGCCCACCAUGGCCACGAUCAGUAGGGGUUCUGAGAGGAAGGUCCCCCACAUUGGAACUGAGACACGGUCCAAACUCCUACGGGAGGCAGCAGUGAGGAAUAUUGGUCAAUGGUCGCGAGACUGAACCAGCCAAGUAGCGUGCAGGAAGACGGCCCUAUGGGUUGUAAACUGCUUUUAUGCGGGGAUAAAGUGGGCCACGUGUGGCCCUUUGCAGGUACCGCAUGAAUAAGGACCGGCUAAUUCCGUGCCAGCAGCGGC